CUCUGAUGCAGUGGUUCUCAACCUUUCUAAUGCCGUGACCCCACAAUACAGUUCCUCAUGUUGCAGUGACCCCAAACUAAAGAAUUAUUUUGGUGGCUACUUCAAAACUGUAAUUUUGAUACAGUUAUGAUUCGGAAUGUAAAUACCUGAUUUGCAUUAUGUAUUCUCAUCGCUACAAAUUGAGAGGUUGAGAACCGCUGCUCUGAUGAGUCUCAGGGGGAUCUGAGUUUUCUGUGCCGCAUCAAUGACAAGGCUAAUAGCUGAUGCUGUAGACACUGAUCUACUAUAGUUUUAAAAAAAUUAUUCAUGAAAAAUCUCUGAAAAAAACCCCAUCCUUGCUGACUCUUCCUAGGAAUGAAUGGGGAGUGCAGCUGAAUUUCCAGGCUUUCAAUCUAAUGGCUACUGGAGGAUUCAUGGAUGGAAUGAAAGAAGGCUCACAGCCUUUUGUUUUCCAGUCUAAAAAAUUCCAAGUUCCUCCAACUGAUUUUCAUAAGGCAUAGAAUCAAGUCCCUUCUCCAUCUUGAUCGUCGUACUCAAAAAAUAAAGAAAAUAAAAAUAGCA
RNAcentral lists this long non-coding RNA (561 nucleotides) under Monodelphis domestica (gray short-tailed opossum). RNAcentral describes it as "lncRNA (ENSMODG00000037756.1)". The record is from RNAcentral. Lineage: Eukaryota; Metazoa; Chordata; Mammalia; Didelphimorphia; Didelphidae.